This 429-nucleotide ribosomal RNA is filed under the name Chloroflexota bacterium. Its description in RNAcentral is "Chloroflexi bacterium partial 16S ribosomal RNA". It matches the Rfam family "Bacterial small subunit ribosomal RNA", at positions 355 to 776 of the family's 1533-position model. The record is from RNAcentral. Lineage: Bacteria; Bacillati; Chloroflexota.
UGGGGAAUAUUGCACAAUGGGCGCAAGCCUGAUGCAGCCAUGCCGCGUGUAUGAAGAAGGCCUUCGGGUUGUAAAGUACUUUCAGCGGGGACGAAGGGAGUAAAGUUAAUACCUUUGCUCAUUGACGUUACCCGCAGAAGAAGCACCGGCUAACUCCGUGCCAGCAGCCGCGGUAAUACGGAGGGUGCAAGCGUUAAUCGGAAUUACUGGGCGUUAAGCGCAUGCAGGCGGUCUGUCAAGUCGGAUGUGAAAUCCCCAGGCUCAACCUGUGAACUGCAUUCGAAACUGGCAGGCUAGAGUCUUGUAGAGGGGGGUAGAAUUCCAGGUGUAGCGGUGAAAUGCGUAAAGAUCUGGAGGAAUACCGGUGGCGAAGGCGACCCCCUGGACAAAGACUGACGCUCAGGUGCGAAAGCGUGGGGAGCAAACAGG